UACGUAGGUGGCAAGCGUUGUCCGGAUUUAUUGGGGUUAAAGGGUGCGUAGGCGGUCCCUUAAGUCAGUGGUGAAAUACUCUAGCUCAACUAGAGAGGUGCCAUUGAUACUGAGGGACUUGAGUGAAGUCGAAGUAGGCGGAAUUGACGGUGUAGCGGUGAAAUGCUUAGAUAUCGUCAAGAACACCGAUAGUGAAGACAGCUUACUAGACUUAUACUGACGCUGAGGCACGAAAGUGUGGGGAUCAAACAGG
This 253-nucleotide ribosomal RNA is filed under the name uncultured bacterium. RNAcentral's name for it is "partial 16S ribosomal RNA". It matches the Rfam family "Bacterial small subunit ribosomal RNA", at positions 524 to 776 of the family's 1533-position model. The record is from RNAcentral.